AUUGAACGCUGGCGGCAGGCUUAACACAUGCAAGUCGAGCGGGGUGAUGGUGCUUGCACUAUCACUUAGCGGCGGACGGGUGAGUAAUGCUUAGGAAUCUGCCUAUUAGUGGGGGACAACACCUCGAAAGGGAUGCUAAUACCGCAUACGUCCUACGGGAGAAAGCAGGGGAUCACUUGUGACCUUGCGCUAAUAGAUGAGCCUAAGUCGGAUUAGCUAGUUGGUGGGGUAAAGGCCUACCAAGGCGACGAUCUGUAGUGGGUCUGAGAGGAUGAUCCGCCACACUGGGACUGAGACACGGCCCAGACUCCUACGGGAGGCAGCAGUGGGGAAUAUUGGACAAUGGGGGGAACCCUAAUCCAGCCAUGCCGCGUGUGUGAAGAAGGCCUUAUGGUUGUAAAGCACUUUAAGCGAGGAGGAGGCUCUUUUGGUUAAUACCCAAGAUGAGUGGACGUUACUCGCAGAAUAAGCACCGGCUAACUCUGUGCCAGCAGCCGCGGUAA
This 503-nucleotide ribosomal RNA is filed under the name uncultured bacterium. RNAcentral describes it as "partial 16S ribosomal RNA". It matches the Rfam family "Bacterial small subunit ribosomal RNA", at positions 30 to 523 of the family's 1533-position model. The record is from RNAcentral.